RNAcentral lists this ribosomal RNA (513 nucleotides) under uncultured Agrobacterium sp. RNAcentral's name for it is "bacterial SSU rRNA". It matches the Rfam family "Bacterial small subunit ribosomal RNA", at positions 338 to 918 of the family's 1533-position model. The record is from RNAcentral. Lineage: Bacteria; Pseudomonadati; Pseudomonadota; Alphaproteobacteria; Hyphomicrobiales; Rhizobiaceae.
CCUACGGGAGGCAGCAGUGGGGAAUAUUGGACAAUGGGCGCAAGCCUGAUCCANCAUGCCGCGUGAGUGAUGAGGGCCUUAGGGUUGUAAAGCUCUUUCACCGAGAAGAUAAUGCGGUAUCCGGAGAAGAAGCCGGCUAANUUCGCCAGCAGCCGGGUAUACGAAGGGGCUAGCGUUNUUCGGAAUUAUGGGGUAAAGCGCACGUAGGCGGAUAUUAAGUCAGGGGUGAAAUCCCAGAGUCACUUGGAACUGCCUUGAUACGGGAUCUGGUAUGGAAGAGGUAAGUGGAAUUCCGAGUGUAGAGGGAAAUUGUAGAUUUNGGGGACCCAGGGCGAGGGGCUUCGGUCCAUUACUGCGNGAGGUGGAAAGGUGGGGAGCAACAGGAUUAGAUACCCGUAUCCCGCCGUAAACGGAAUGUUAGCCGUGGGCGUUAUGUUCGUGGCGCAGUCUAACGCUUAACUCUCGACCUGGGGAGUACGGUCGCAAGAUUAAAACUCAAAUGAAUUGACGGGG